RNAcentral lists this long non-coding RNA (419 nucleotides) under Arabidopsis thaliana (thale cress). Its description in RNAcentral is "ncRNA (AT4G05670)". Lineage: Eukaryota; Viridiplantae; Streptophyta; Magnoliopsida; Brassicales; Brassicaceae. The record is from RNAcentral.
CUUCAUAUUUUUCUCUCUUGCUUGUGUUCUAUGCGAGAAAAAAAAAGAAGGAAAACAAAAAUGGUGGUGGAAGAGGAAGAUAUGGAUGGAGAAUCAAAGCUUGAGAUUAUUUUGACACACAUCUUAUCAAAACCGUGGUUGAGUUGGAUCAAGCUGAUCAAUUGUUUGGAGUAUUGAAGCUUUGUUUUUCAUCCUAGUCCACUCGUUAUCUUCGUAAAAAGAAUGGUCUAUUUGAUUUUGUGGCGGAAAGAGACGGUUGAUAGUGAAUUAAUAAUAGUGAAUAUGAUUUUGAUUCCAUGAAGGUCAAAGGCCAAGACACGGUGGUGAGUAUAAGUCUCGGUGGUGGUUUCCAAUUCGACGGAAUUGUGCAGUGAGACGACGACGGAGCUGGUGUGGUGGUUCAAAAUAUGACUGAGAUA